UCCAAUACGUACCCGUUUCCUAAUAUUUUAAAAAAUCUCGCUUCUGCGCUUCUUUACGCUUCCGCUUCCACGUACCCGCUUCCGUUUCCAUGUAACAUAGUUUUCAGCUUUCUUCUUUGGCAUUCACCUUUCAAUAUCCAGGAUAUUACGAAACGUAAGUUGAUAAGAAGAUGCAUAAUGUACGGAAUAAAAUAAAACAUAAUUCACAAAGAGUCAUGAUUUGGUGAUUCUUUAAUAUUUUAAUCUCUGACUAAUCAAACCCAUACAUUAACCAUAAAUAUAUGUUCCUGUUUUUGUAAAGAAUAUUAGUUAAAGAUUAAAAAAUAAGGUCACGAGACUCACAUAGUCACAAGCUCACAACCUUUGACAUCAGCCUCCCACCACAUGUACACCCAUAUUUAUAUGUAUAUUCUCCUCCAUUUUCAUCAUCUCUAAUAUCUCCAAGUCACACUUCCAAGAGAAGUCAGAUUCUGGUGAGGAUGAGAUUUGGGAAGAUUGUAGAAGGCUUGAAGUCCAAGAUAAAGGCAAGUCUAAGGAUGAGGAAGAGAUCCUCAUUAUCAUCAUCAUCAUCGUCAUCAUCAUCAUCGUAUGAGAAGAUAGAGAAGACUGACAGUAUGAGAUUUGAGUUAAGAAGCAGAAAGGCACACAAAAUUAUCCAACAAACUCUUCGGAUUGCCGAUUCUCCAACCUCAAGAACUUAUGCUUUAUGAUUUCAUCGUUUUACCAUCCAAAACAUAUUCAUACAUACAUAUAGACUUGCGUGUACGUCUGUUUAUACAUAUGAUCCAUCUAAAUUAUUGUACGUGUGUGUAUGUAUGUGUGAAAGGUUAUAUGGAUGAUGUCAUGGGUGAUGGAUAUUAUCUUGGCUAAUGGAUGAUGAUUAGAUGAA
Molecule: long non-coding RNA, 889 nt
Organism: Brassica napus (rape)
Lineage: Eukaryota; Viridiplantae; Streptophyta; Magnoliopsida; Brassicales; Brassicaceae
Exons: 2
Source: RefSeq, a predicted model, not a curated record